This 496-nucleotide ribosomal RNA is filed under the name uncultured bacterium. Its description in RNAcentral is "bacterial SSU rRNA". It matches the Rfam family "Bacterial small subunit ribosomal RNA", at positions 28 to 526 of the family's 1533-position model. The record is from RNAcentral.
GACGAACGCUGGCGGCGUGCUUAACACAUGCAAGUGGAGCGACGAAGGGGCUUCGGCCCCGGCAAAGCCGCGAACGGGUGAGUAACACGUGGGUUACCUGCCCUGAUGACCGGGACAACCCGAGGAAACUCGGGCUAAUACCGGAUGUGCCCGCAAGGGGAAAGGAAGCUUCGGCCUCCGCAUCAGGAUGGGCCCGCGGCGCAUUAGCUUGUUGGUGGGGUAACGGCCUACCAAGGCGACGAUGCGUAGCUGGUCUGAGAGGACGAUCAGCCACACUGGGACUGAGACACGGCCCAGACUCCUACGGGAGGCAGCAGUGGGGAAUCUUGCACAAUGCGCGAAAGCGUGAUGCAGCAACGCCGCGUGCGGGAAGACGGCCUUCGGGUUGUAAACCGCUUUCAGUUGGGACGAAGGUUCGAUCGUUAAUAGCGGUUUGGACUGACGGUACCUUCACAAGAAGCCCCGGCUAACUACGUGCCAGCCGCCGCCGUAACAC